CAGAAGCAGCAUUAGACACGGGCGUCGCUUCCAACACUUCAAGCAUACGAAUAAAGCACAUCCAUUCCACCCUUCGGUUUCGCUGCUGCUCGUCUGAAUCUUCCAUCGACCUCGGCUUCCUUCUCCGAUCUCCUCACCCAAUUGGGAUCUCCAAAGUCUCAUCUGUCUCCUGCACCAAUUAUUCCGGAGUCUUCCGAUCGGAAGAAAGCCAUUCCAAAUGAGAAUUCGAGCCUCAGAGACUCCACCUUUGAGCUCCAGUUCCAAUCCGAAUCCCACCCCGCCCCUGUCUUCUCCAUCGAUUUCUCCUCUUUCGAAUGAUUCCUCGAGCCGUUGCCAAGGCCUCGACCUCUUGGUGUUGGCUGUCAUUGAAGUCUUUGGGGACACAGCUUUGCAGAUGGAGCACAUUGAUGGCGAUGGAGUUGGACAGGAGGAACGGAAGCAAGACGGCAUCGAGAUGAGGAAGGAGGAUCCGAAUAUCAGAGUUGAAGCUGACCUGAAACGGAAGGGGAGGAGGAGGCCAUUGUCAACGCCUUCUAGGUUCCAGGAUUCGGUGCUGCAGCCAUGGAAGCGGAGCACCCGGCGGCGGCUAAGCGGGGGGAAGCAAUAGGGUCUGGCGGCAAGGGUACUGAUCCUAAGCACCACCAAUCGAACAAGGUAAGCACUAUAAAUGCUGGAGGAAACUGUUGCUGAUCCAUAAAAGGACACUGAUGUCUUCAUAUCACUGGAACAGAGUUUGUGGACAUAUAAAUCAGAUUCUGAAGAGUUCAUGGAGUUGUUUAUGCCUUUGCUUGCAUUGACAGUGCAAAAUCCAUAAAUUUCAGUUCCAGGAAAUGCUGAAGGAUGUAGAACCGUGGAUGGAUCAUAAAUCUUGCUUAAGGUAAGCCUAUAUGCCAGGUCAAACCCUGUUUUAUCUGUCAUUUCUUGAACGAAGGUUGGUCUUUGGCAGGACUAACACUUGUGUCUUCCCCAUAGUGUCAGGUUCAAAUGAAGUCCAUCUUGGUUCAAUUAUUUUAUUGAA
This is a long non-coding RNA of Musa acuminata AAA Group (dessert banana), 1018 nucleotides long. RefSeq lists it as uncharacterized. Lineage: Eukaryota; Viridiplantae; Streptophyta; Magnoliopsida; Zingiberales; Musaceae. The record is from RefSeq and is a predicted model, not a curated record. The transcript has 2 exons.